GCCUGAUGGGCUGCCGUAUGCCGUAUGUGCACAGAGUUGGACACGACUGAAGCGACUUAGUAGUAGUAUGGCUGUAUCUUUGUUUAGAAUACUGGGGUGAAAGGACUUGUAGAGAUUUUUCUCCCCCAUUAUUUGAAAAGGAAGUCCGGAGAAAGUUGUAUGAAAUCAUGAUCCUACCAGCAACAAGGGCUGGGAUUUCAUGGAAGAAUUCCUAUCCUUUGGUGGUAGAUUGAAGAAGGAACCCAGCUUCAUUGAAUACAGUGCUUUCCAAAGUAAGCCAGUCAUCAACAUCACCUGGGGUGCUUCUUUAAAUUACAGAGUUUUGGACCCACCCUUGGAAAUUCUGAUUUACUAGGUCUAGUGCUGAGCCUAGGAAUCCAUGUUUUUAACAAGCUCCCUGGUGAUUCUAAUGAUUAACUGGGUUUAGGAAAUAAGAUCUCACAACAGAAGGGCCUGGGGGAGGGAGCAGGUGGGUGGAUGAUGGGGGCUGCCCCAGGUGCUUCCCAGUAGGGGAGGUAGAGAUGGUGAGAACCGAAAAAGGGCGGUUUUGAAAGCAGGACUGACCACUCUGGGGACUUUUUAAACACACAGAACAAAGGCACAGGCUCUCAGGGAGGACGAAGAUGUGGAGCAUCAGACACUUGGGCGGCUCCCUUUCUGUCUCUGGUUCUAGGCGUUCGUGUAAACUGAAGGAGUUGGACUCAUCGGAGGCUUUUCCAACUGAGGGAGCCCAAAGCCACAGUGGUGGAGGGGUGGCUGAGUGGGUGGAAGUCCAGGCUUUGCCCCAGCCCACCCUCCCCAGGGCCCCUGACUCUGCUUUAUAUUGAGGUCUCUUUUAAGAUUUUCUUUGGAAAAACGUUUUCGGCUGCCAAGAAGUUUGACAAUCUCCAGACUAGAUGACCUUUCAGUUCUAAAAAGUCAUAUAAGUUUGUGAACAAAAGCCAGGGGGAGGAGGAACAGCCCAGAAGAUGGGGUUGAGUGAAACAGAAGAACAAUCCAGAAUGGGCAUUUCAAUCCUCAUUUUAACCUUAGGACUGACUCUUUGGGUUGUGGCAGGAGCUCCCAAUUUCCAUCUCAGGAUCAGCGUACUGCCUGAGUCAACUCAGAGUGACCUCCAAGGAAAAUUCUGGUGGCCUUCCCAUCAGAUUCUUAUAUUAAAUUUGCGGGGGGACGUCCCUCCCUUCACAGGACCCGGAAGCCCAGAGAAAUUACGAAGGUUCCUCUGCUAAUAUGUUGGUCAUGUCUUGCUGUUUGCAAGUGUUUCAACAAUAGGGGGUUCUCGGGAGGGAUGGAAGAUGAAUCUCAGGCUGCCAUCUUGACUUGGAAGCCAGCACCUCCAAUACAGCAGGAAAAGGGAGGAAAGAAGAAAGAAAUGGAGAAAUGCCUCACUCAUGCUGGUGAUAACACUGGGGUUUCCUCCAACACACUCCCACUUUGGCUAGAAUUCCAUGCUCCCUGCUCUCUCCUCAACUCAAGGAAGCCUCCACACACACCCUCCAGGGCGACUCUAACACCUGGUGACAAACUGAAGCUCUCAGUCCAGGGCCCCACGAGGAGUGGGAUCCCGCAGAAAACCAUGGAGUGAGCUUGGAAACGAGUCUCGUCCCAGUCAAGCCUUUAGAUGACUGCAGCCCACCUCAACACCUUGAUUGUAGCUUGUGAGACCUUGUGAGCCAGAGGACUCAGCUAAGCUGUGCCCAGAUUCCAGAGUCACAGACAUAAUGUGACAUAGCUUGUGCUUUUAUUUUAAUCCAUUAAAGUUCAGAGUAAUGUGUUAUGCUGCAAUAGGUAAGUAACACAUUAUUGACCA
Long non-coding RNA from Bubalus bubalis (water buffalo), 1810 nucleotides. RefSeq lists it as uncharacterized. NCBI's taxonomy places the organism in Eukaryota, Metazoa, Chordata, Mammalia, Artiodactyla, Bovidae. The record is from RefSeq and is a predicted model, not a curated record. The transcript has 5 exons.